UACAGAGGUCUCAAGCGUUGUUCGGAUUCAUUGGGCGUAAAGGGUGCGUAGGCGGCGCGGUAAGUCGGGUGUGAAAUCUCGGGGCUUAACUCCGAAACUGCAUUCGAUACUGCCGUGCUUGAGGACUGGAGAGGAGACUGGAAUUUACGGUGUAGCGGUGAAAUGCGUAGAUAUCGUAAGGAAGACCAGUGGCGAAGGCGGGUCUCUGGACAGUUCCUGACGCUGAGGCACGAAGGCGUGGGGAGCAAACGGG
This 253-nucleotide ribosomal RNA is filed under the name uncultured bacterium. RNAcentral describes it as "partial 16S ribosomal RNA". It matches the Rfam family "Bacterial small subunit ribosomal RNA", at positions 524 to 776 of the family's 1533-position model. The record is from RNAcentral.